This is a long non-coding RNA of Nicotiana attenuata, 1956 nucleotides long. RefSeq lists it as uncharacterized. The transcript is spliced from 4 exons. NCBI's taxonomy places the organism in Eukaryota, Viridiplantae, Streptophyta, Magnoliopsida, Solanales, Solanaceae. The record is from RefSeq and is a predicted model, not a curated record.
CAUCUGUUCAUCAACUUGCAUCCCAUUAUCAACCUCUUCCGUCUCCGCCGUCAGUUCUUUCUCUUCUCUCCAGAUCUGUUCCUUAUCAUUUCUCUGCUUCUGAUACCGGAUUCAGAUCUGUGUAGAUCGUUCGCUGAUCUACAGUUUGAGUAUGGUUACGAGUUGCAUCAUGUAUCGGCUUUUCGAUCGUUGGGCCGGAGGUUUUGUUACGAACCGUUUGACUUUGAGAAGUGAGUUGAUGAAAGCUUCAUAAUUUGGAAGACUAGCUCUUGUCUGCUUGUUAGUUGUUCCAAAGCAACCAAAUCUGGUUAUUCAAAUUGGAGGUUUCAUCGUUUGCUGCUAGAGUUUUGUUGAUUUGAUUCUACAUGCGGCUCAAAUUGACCAUAUCUGUUCUGUAGAGCUGCUUGACUAAUCAGAUCUGAUUGGUGCUCCAACUGUCUGAACUGUGGGUCUGUUAACCGCUGGUAAUCGGCUAGGUUGUGGUUGUUAGAAAAGGUUUAUCAUUUAAUUUGUUGUCUAUUAUGAGCUGCAUCAUUGAUGAACAUUAACCUUUCUGAUACGCGUGCAUAUGUACGAGUUAGUUAUAUUGUCAUAGACAAAAAGAGAGGACGUGAGAUUUUUGUUGUUGUUUUCGACCUUUGCCAUGAUGGGUGCGCUCGCAUGGCAGGUCACAAUACCCAAUAAAGUUUCUAUUUUUUGUUUUGGGAGAGGAGAUGGCACAGGGUUUUUGCCUGGCGCUCCUCUCUUUGUGCCUGUCUUGUCUUUUAUUAUCUUCCUUGUUCCCUAGAUAUUAUGCGCAAGAUCAAUACCACAAAGAACGUCACAGCAGAUUGCUGGUUACUUGCCCUUUGAAUGGUGGUCUUUUAUUCAAGGGCAAGUGACUCGUACAUCUCUUAAAUUUGACAUCAGUCAGGCUAAUGCUAGGAUUAAUCUGCUCCAGCACUCCAAUCAAAGUAUUGGAGAGAAUGUCAUUCUUUUCUCUCCACUGGCUUUGAGAUGCUGCUCCCUACUUGUUGAAGAUCAAUAAAACCAUUUGCCUCUGUUGAGGUGAUCAACCAACUUUGGAUGCUGCUGAAUUACACUGGAAAGGUGAUAUUCUACUGCUGAAUUGAUUUAGGCUAUGUUGAUUUCUUGCUUCUUUUUCGAGUUCGAUAUAAUUCAUCGCUUGGGUACUUUUGUAAGCAUGAGUGUCAGCUGUAUUUGCUCUGUCAUUACUGUCAGUUGGAAUAGCUGUCUGAAAUUGAGGCUUCUCUAUUUGUUCGAAUACUUUCAAAGUGUUGCCGCCUUAGUUGAUGCAGCUGGUCCAGAUUGUUUGGUGUAUUGCCGAAGCGAGAGGGCUCAUUUUAUAAGUUCAAAAGUUUAUGUUGAUUGCAAUCUACCCUGAUAACUAGGGGGUCUCCCACUUUUAUUUUGUGUCUUUGAUCUAUCUAAUAUUUUGCUAUCUUUUAGGAAAUGGAUAUUGCAACUUUUGUAGAUGAUAGAAAACUGGUUUUUACCAUGCCUAAUUUGAGAAUUUUCUUUUGUCUGUAGUAGAGAGUAUUCAGAAAAUUUGCCAUGCUGUGCUAAUUCACUAGGUUGUGGAAGUUUAUUUCUUUUUGCUGAAGAUUACUUCAAGGAAAUAUUGACAUCUGGUACAUGUUGUCUUGAUCGUUUGUUGAGGGGGAAAUGGUCAUGUUUUAGUUUACGUACGUCGAUAGAGAAAGCAUACGGAUGUUUAUAGAGAAAUGUUACAUAAAUUUGAUAAAUUCUUAUUCGUCUUCAGUGGCUGAAUUUUUUGACUAUUUAAAGCAGCAAAAUUUUCUCCUUACAGCGAGAUGUUUUAGUUCUUCCGCACUUUAUACUCUCUUGCCCAAAUCAUAAAAUUAAAUUAGAAGUGUACUGAAGUAAGCCAUUAAUGUGGAUUCUUUAUAUGUUUGCAUUAAAAGGAAUACUUGCUUUUUUGGAAAUUCAAACUAA